This 254-nucleotide ribosomal RNA is filed under the name uncultured bacterium. RNAcentral's name for it is "partial 16S ribosomal RNA". It matches the Rfam family "Bacterial small subunit ribosomal RNA", at positions 524 to 776 of the family's 1533-position model. The record is from RNAcentral.
UAUGUAGGGUGCGAGCGUUGUCCGGAAUUAUUGGGCGUAAAGAGCUCGUAGGCGGUCUGUCGCGUCGGUUGUGAAAACUUGGGGCUUAACCCUGAGCUUGCGGUCGAUACGGGCAUGACUGGAGUUCGGCAGGGGAGACUGGAAUUCCUGGUGUAGCGGUGAAAUGCGCAGAUAUCAGGAGGAACACCGGUGGCGAAGGCGGGUCUCUGGGCCGAUACUGACGCUGAGGAGCGAAAGCGUGGGGAGCGAACAGG